UACGUAGGGUGCGAGCGUGUCCGGAUUUAUUGGGCGUAAAGGGCUCGUAGGCGGCGUGUCGCGUCGGGGAGUGAAAGCCCGUUGCUUAACGGCGGGUUGGCUUUCGGUACGGGCAUGCUGGAGUGCGGCAGGGGAGACUGGAAUUCCUGGUGUAGCGGUGGAAUGCGCAGAUAUCAGGAGGAACACCGGUGGCGAAGGCGGGGUCUCUGGGCCGUAACUGACG
This 223-nucleotide ribosomal RNA is filed under the name uncultured bacterium. RNAcentral's name for it is "partial 16S ribosomal RNA". It matches the Rfam family "Bacterial small subunit ribosomal RNA", at positions 524 to 745 of the family's 1533-position model. The record is from RNAcentral.